Molecule: unclassified non-coding RNA, 429 nt
Filed under: Hevea brasiliensis (rubber tree)
Lineage: Eukaryota; Viridiplantae; Streptophyta; Magnoliopsida; Malpighiales; Euphorbiaceae
Source: RNAcentral
GAGUUGAGUUGAGUUGAGUUUUCAUUUUCGUUUUGACCAAUUCUGAUUUCUUUUAAACCAUUUCAAAUAUAUAUAAAUAUAUAUGCUCUCACUUUAUCCUUAAAAUAUUAUAUGUGGAAAUUGGGCAAAAGAGAUACCAAAUAACUUCAUUUCAUUUGAUAGUUCAUUGGCAAGGUUUUACAGCACAUGCUUUUGUGUUGCUUCAUGACGUGUUAUUACUUCAUCAUCAUUGAGGCAUAUAUAAAGUGCUAAUUGAGAACCAUUAUACAUAUGCUGUUGCCCAGCUGCAGUGCUGUACGCCCUAGCUUCUCUUGUGUAAGAUGGGACAUCCUUGUAUGAACUGCAUAUUUAUAUGUGUUUGGAAUUAGAAGAUGAAUGGAUCUGAAUUAUACCCAACAUGGGAUUACCAGAAUCAACUAGCUGCAUUAU